GCGAGUAAUGUCGGGAACUCCAGGGAGACUGCCGGUGAUAAACCGGAGGAAGGUGGGGACGACGUCAAGUCAUCAUGGCCCUUACGAGUAGGGCUACACACGUGCUACAAUGGCGCAUACAGAGGGCGGCCAACUUGCGAAAGUGAGCGAAUCCCAAAAAGUGCGUCGUAGUCCGGAUUGGAGUCUGCAACUCGACUCCAUGAAGUCGGAAUCGCUAGUAAUCGUGGAUCAGAAUGCCACGGUGAAUACGUUCCC
RNAcentral lists this ribosomal RNA (255 nucleotides) under Vibrio alginolyticus. RNAcentral's name for it is "partial 16S ribosomal RNA". It matches the Rfam family "Bacterial small subunit ribosomal RNA", at positions 1121 to 1375 of the family's 1533-position model. The record is from RNAcentral. RNAcentral also lists the same sequence under 4 other names. Lineage: Bacteria; Pseudomonadati; Pseudomonadota; Gammaproteobacteria; Vibrionales; Vibrionaceae.